AAAGUCCAUGAUUUGGUGUCAUACUGACACAAAUCAGAUUCUGGGCUCAGAUUCAUCAGCACCAAGAUGCCCAGAGAUGUAGGAAGCAAAAGAUACAGUCCCUGUGUUUGUGGAAUUUUUCAUCUAUUGAGGGAGACUAUAAAGUGAAUUUACAAACCACCCAAAGGACACAAGGGACAAGAAGCAGCUGAGAAUCGUGAAUGAUCAGAAAUCUGGUGCAGAUCACCUACUUUGAAUCAACUGUGCAGCUGAAUGACAAGGAGACUCUUGCCCUGCCAACCCCUGGGCCCUUUGGACCAGGACACCUUGACACAAAGAUCCAUUCCUGCUCCGGAAGCUACCGCAGAGCAUUUCCAUAGGUCUCCAGUCACACGUCUUUGCUUUUCUUAACAUACCGGGAGAUCUAUGAAAGCGAAACUAAAAGGAAAUGGAAAGGAAAAACUGCUUGUGCAUCUCUCUCCGUCAACUAUUUCAUUUUCAUUUGUUCUAGGAGAAUUUCUUUCAGCCCUCGCCUCCUGGAUUUACGCUUAUUCUGGGGACUAGACGAAAAAUCUCUACCCCUGGCAGGGAUAUUGUGGAAGGCUUGCCUAGAUGAUAUAGGGGCAUUAAAUAUUUGACCUUUGGGGUUUCUUCCAAUCCAGAUAUUCUCGGGUGCAGAAAGGAGUAGUGGUCCCUCAGACCGUCCAAAAUGGGUUUUUUCCACCCUGAUUGGAAAAUAUGCUCAUUUCUAACACAAGAUGGCGCUGGGACACAGGCAAGAACAUUUCUGAUUAAAACAAAACAAAAUGAAACAAAACAAAACACAAAACAAAACAAUCCAGGAGCACAAAAGUUCUAAUAAGCCAGAGAGUUAUUUUGUUUCUGGACAAGACCAGCUUUUGUUAAGCACAUUUUAGAACAGUCUUCUGGAGUAGUAAUAAUCUAAUAGGGCUGCUUUACCCCUAAAUCAACCAAAUGGUUAGGACUGAAUGAAAGUAGCACAAUGUAUCCUUAGGAACAAAGUAUUCAAAAAGAACUCUAAAUCCCUUAACUAUGCAGGGUCAAAACCAGAGAUAAGUGGUCAGGGGACUUAGUUGAGCACUAUCAUCAAAAGUGAUGUCUUAAAUUCUGAUUCUGAUAUGGGAUGGGUCUUUACCAGUUGAAUAAUUCUGAUAUGAAUUCAGGUGCCUUAAUAAAAUUAUCUUUUUUUUUUUUUUUUUCUUAGAGACAGGGUCUCACUAUGUUACCCAGUCUGGUCUCAAACUCCCGGCCUCCCAAAGUGCUGGGAUUACAGGUGUAAGCCACCAUGCCCAGCCUAAUUUAAAAUUAAAUGAGCUCUUUUAUUUCAUAAUAGAGCAGAUUGUUUUAACUUGUUUGCACUUAUUUGAGGAUUAUUUGAUGAAGCAAUUGAGGAAUAAUUCACAAUUUGAACUAUAACCACCAAACAAGUUCUGUUAAGCUAAUACCUAAGUUGAGUCUUAGUGUUGUUUUUUGUUGUUUUGAUUUGUUUUGUUUUGUUUUUGAGACAGAGUUUGGUUGUAUCACCAAGGCUAGAGUGCAGUGGCAUGGCUCACUGCAGCCUCAACAUCUGUGUUCAAGCUAUCCUCCCGCCUUAGCCUCCGGAGCAGGUAGAACUAUAGGUAUGCAUCACCAUGCCCAGCUAAUUUUUUAUUUUUUGUAGAGAGGGGGUUUCAUUGUAUUGCCCAGGCUAGUCUCAAUCUCUUGGGCUCAAGCGAUCCACCUGCCUCAUCCC
Molecule: long non-coding RNA, 1732 nt
Filed under: Macaca mulatta (Rhesus monkey)
Lineage: Eukaryota; Metazoa; Chordata; Mammalia; Primates; Cercopithecidae
Description: lncRNA (ENSMMUG00000057580.1)
Source: RNAcentral